This 253-nucleotide ribosomal RNA is filed under the name uncultured bacterium. RNAcentral's name for it is "partial 16S ribosomal RNA". It matches the Rfam family "Bacterial small subunit ribosomal RNA", at positions 524 to 776 of the family's 1533-position model. The record is from RNAcentral.
UACGGAGGGUGCAAGCGUUAUCCGGAUUCCCUGGGUUUAAAGGGUGCGUAGGAGGGCAGGGAAGUCCGUGGUGAAAUCCUAGAGCUUAACUCUAGAACUGCCGUGGAUACUCUCUGUCUUGAAUCCCGUGGAGAUGAGCGGAAUAUGUCAUGUAGCGGUGAAAUGCUUAGAUAUGACAUAGAACACCAAUUGCGAAGGCAGCUCGUUACACGAAGAUUGACUCUGAGGCACGAAAGCGUGGGGAUCAAACAGG